This 253-nucleotide ribosomal RNA is filed under the name uncultured prokaryote. RNAcentral describes it as "partial 16S ribosomal RNA". It matches the Rfam family "Bacterial small subunit ribosomal RNA", at positions 524 to 776 of the family's 1533-position model. The record is from RNAcentral.
GACGAACCGUGCAAACGUUGUUCGGAAUCACUGGGCUUAAAGGGCGCGUAGGCGGGGGACCAAGUCCGGGGUGAAAUCUUUCGGCUCAACCGGAAAACUGCCUUGGAUACUGGUCUUCUUGAGGGAGGUAGGGGCAGGUGGAACUUCCGGUGGAGCGGUGAAAUGCGUUGAUAUCGGAAGGAACGCCGGUGGCGAAAGCGGCCUGCUGGAUCUCUUCUGACGCUGAGGCGCGAAAGCUAGGGGAGCGAACGGG